RNAcentral lists this ribosomal RNA (253 nucleotides) under uncultured bacterium. Its description in RNAcentral is "partial 16S ribosomal RNA". It matches the Rfam family "Bacterial small subunit ribosomal RNA", at positions 524 to 776 of the family's 1533-position model. The record is from RNAcentral.
UACGAAGGGGGCUAGCGUUGUUCGGAAUCACUGGGCGUAAAGCGCACGUAGGUGGACUUUCAAGUCAGGGGUGAAAUCCCGGGGCUCAACCUCGGAACUGCCUUUGAUACUGUUGGUCUUGAGUCCGGAAGAGGUGAGUGGAAUUCCUAGUGUAGAGGUGAAAUUCGUAGAUAUUAGGAAGAACACCAGUGGCGAAGGCGGCUCGCUGGCACGGUACUGACGCUGAGGUGCGAAAGCGUGGGGAGCAAACAGG